RNAcentral lists this long non-coding RNA (2263 nucleotides) under Scleropages formosus (Asian bonytongue). RNAcentral describes it as "lncRNA (ENSSFOG00015027550.1)". The record is from RNAcentral. Lineage: Eukaryota; Metazoa; Chordata; Actinopteri; Osteoglossiformes; Osteoglossidae.
AUGGGGACCCCCAUUAGAAUGUGGAAUAACGUCCACAAACAACGGAGACGUCGUCCAUCGCAGCGGACGAAACCCUGCUGCGCGGAAAGAGACCCAGAGAGAGAGUUCGGGAUCUUCCACGUCCACAACUCGAGCAGUAUUAUCAUGUGUAAUCCCGUGGGGACGCCAGGAGUCAGGACCGCGGCGAUAACGCACGAGUCGGAGGAAGACGCCCGCAGAAUGAUGCGCGUUUGCGGAGCGCGAACGAGUGUGUCCGAGGGCGCAGCGAAGCGCCACUUUCAGCGAGUCUGGAUGGAGUCCGGUGGCCCCGCGACGCCACUCUCGGUGCGGACGGACUGACGGACGGACUGACGGCCCCCUCUCCGGCUGGCCUCGCGGCGCCUCCUUACAUGCGCUCCGCUUUUGUCGUGGAUCGCUUUCUCCAACCCUGUCCCCUCUCUUGUUUAGAUCCGCUUCAUGAAAACUAGAGAAAGAAGCACCGCUGCGUCAGUCAGUGUGUAUUUGUCACCCUAUAGCUCUAAAGUUUUUUAAUACACUGCAUUUUCAAUCAAUUAUAUUAUUUCUUAUAUGAUACUUCAGGUCUUAAGGGAAAAAUUCUGAAGGCGCGGAGAUCAGUAACAGCUGUAUUAUUUAUUGGGGAGGGGUUUAUAUAUAUAUAUACAUGCGUGUGUUAUAUAUAUAUUCUGGUCGAUUUUAGUGAUUUUGGACAGGUGGGUUUCCGUAGGUGUCUUUGUUUCAUAUUUAUGCCCCAGUGGUGGACCUGUACAGCAGUUCUUACUGUUGUGGCACAAAAUACCAAUGAAGGAACAGGACAGAGGUGAACUUUGAGUUUUUUUUUGGUUUUUGUUUUUUUUUUUUUGGCUGACAUAAGUAGAGCUUUGCGUUGUACAAAGGCUGAAAACCCUCUUUCGACUGUCUCUCUUUGGGUCUCAUGUGAGUCUGGCUUACUGGCCGGACCGAGCGCUUGAACCCUGACAUGUGGACCAAGUCGGAGGACAUGCCUACAGGGCUGCUCUCCAGGGAGGCCUCACACGCUGGCUGCGUCUACAGCGCCGCAGCAAUACAAAAUUCCACAUACUGUACACACGAUAUAUGUGUAAGUGCUCACUCUCUAUCCUGUUUUUGUAUUUUUCUCAGCAAAUAAGAUUUUUGUGCUUACUUGCUUCAGCAAUGAAAUGUGCUGAACAAAUAUUUGAGUGUUUCCAGUGCCCUUUACCUUGUACGGAGGCAAGGAGACUCUAAUGUUCUCUAUAUUUUUUAUUAAAAAAUUCUUUGAAAUGAUAUAACAUACAGUUCUCCAAAUAAUAACAGUCAUAACAACGAUAAUGGAAUGAACUGAAAUUAUGAAAUUUUGAGCAUUUGCAAUAACAAAGUGUAUAACGCUAUACAAAAUGAAUACACACUAACUUCUUUUUUUGAAGAUGUGGUAUUUUCAUAUUCACCUCUUCAUAUAAGGCAGGUCCUACUCUUUAUAAUCUAUCUAUGAUACAUCAGGUACCCUAAAAAGCAAAAAGAAUGCAAAUGCUCUUGACAUAUUUAAAAGACAUUUUGUACCAUAAGUUGUGUGUUGAGCGCUAAGGUCUGAAACAGUUUAUACCCAAUUAUUCAUUUCUGCUCUAAUAGAAGGCUCCCUUCAGAGCUUGGGGCAUUUGAGUGAUUCAUGUUUUAUUAGAAGUGAACAUAGGUGUAGUGGCAGAUUUAAAAAAAAAAAAAAAAACUAAUAAUAAUUAAUUAUUACAGAUACAGUUUAACUGUUCAUUAAAAUACUAUCAUGCAUUCAGUAUUUAUAAACAUUUCAAAAGCAUUUUUUAAACAGAGGCUAUUUGCAUGGUCUUCCAAUUUAACUGGUACCGGAGGCCCCCUUUGUAGGUCUGUUGUUAUGUUUUAAAAAUAUUCCGUACCGGUGAUUUUUUUGCCUCCCGCAGUAUAAUGUAUUUGCAGAAAUUGUUUGAUGUCUUGCUGCUGUAAUUUUACUUGCCUGAUUCACUUGUGUGCAAAACUUGAAAUCAAUUUCAGUAACUUAAAAUUCACAUCACAUUAAUGGUCAGAGAAGUUUAACCUGCAAAGAAUGACUGAAGCGACACGUAAUAUGUGAAAUUUUCCCUGCUUUAAUUGGGAUAUUUUAACAUCAACAAAUGCUGGUUGUCAUUAUUUACUUUAUUUAUAUAUUUAUUUCUUUUUCCUGCUUUGUACGUUUGUCAUACACAGAUGUCACAGUGCCGAUUCCAAAGAACAAAAUAAAUUUGAAAAAAAAAAAACUGCA